UCUUCCUCGUAGCUCGCGUGGUAGAGCGGUCGGCUGUUGAAUCGACCGGUCGUAGGUUCAAAUCCUACUUAGGGAGAA
Dovyalis caffra is the source of this 78-nucleotide non-coding RNA. NCBI's taxonomy places the organism in Eukaryota, Viridiplantae, Streptophyta, Magnoliopsida, Malpighiales, Salicaceae. The record is from the annotation of a GenBank genome assembly.